Tricholoma furcatifolium is the source of this 82-nucleotide non-coding RNA. The record is from the annotation of a GenBank genome assembly. Lineage: Eukaryota; Fungi; Basidiomycota; Agaricomycetes; Agaricales; Tricholomataceae.
CCGACCUUAGCUCAGUUGGUAGAGCGCAAGACUGUAACGGCUGACGAUCUUGAUGCCGCCUGUUCGAUCCAGGCAGGUCGGA